UAGGGAUUCUUCCACAAUGGACGCAAGUCUGAUGGAGCAACGCCGCGUGAGUGAAGAAGGUUUUCGGAUCGUAAAGCUCUGUUGUUGGUGAAGAAGGAUAGAGGCAGUAACUGGUCUUUAUUUGACGGUAAUCAACCAGAAAGUCACGGCUAACUACGUGCCAGCAGCCGCGGUAAUACGUAGGUGGCAAGCGUUGUCCGGAUUUAUUGGGCGUAAAGCGAGCGCAGGCGGAAUGAUAAGUCUGAUGUGAAAGCCCACGGCUCAACCGUGGAACUGCAUCGGAAACUGUCAUACUUGAGUGCAGAAGAGGAGAGUGGAAUUCCAUGUGUAGCGGUGGAAUGCGUAGAUAUAUGGAAGAACACCAGUGGCGAAGGCGGCGCUCUGGUCUGCAACUGACGCUGAGGCUCGAAAGCAUGGGUAGCGAACAGG
RNAcentral lists this ribosomal RNA (429 nucleotides) under bacterium. Its description in RNAcentral is "partial 16S ribosomal RNA". It matches the Rfam family "Bacterial small subunit ribosomal RNA", at positions 355 to 776 of the family's 1533-position model. The record is from RNAcentral.